GACGAACGCUGGCGGCGUGCUUAACACAUGCAAGUCGAACGGAAAGGCCCUGCUUUUGUGGGGUGCUCGAGUGGCGAACGGGUGAGUAACACGUGAGUAACCUGCCCUUGACUUUGGGAUAACUUCAGGAAACUGGGGCUAAUACCGGAUAGGAGCUCCUGCUGCAUGGUGGGGGUUGGAAGGUUUCGGCGGUUGGGGAUGGACUCGCGGGUUAUCAGCUUGUUGGUGGGGUAGUGGCUUACCAAGGCUUUGACGGGUAGCCGGCCUGAGAGGGUGACCGGCCACAUUGGGACUGAGAUACGGCCCAGACUCCUACGGGAGGCAGCAGUGGGGAAUAUUGCACAAUGGGCGGAAGCCUGAUGCAGCAACGCCGCGUGCGGGAUGACGGCCUUCGGGUUGUAAACCGCUUUCGCCUGUGACGAAGCGUGAGUGACGGUAAUGGGUAAAGAAGCACCGGCUAACUACGUG
This 468-nucleotide ribosomal RNA is filed under the name uncultured bacterium. RNAcentral's name for it is "partial 16S ribosomal RNA". It matches the Rfam family "Bacterial small subunit ribosomal RNA", at positions 28 to 507 of the family's 1533-position model. The record is from RNAcentral.